Molecule: ribosomal RNA, 253 nt
Filed under: uncultured bacterium
Lineage: Bacteria
Description: partial 16S ribosomal RNA
Rfam family: Bacterial small subunit ribosomal RNA
Source: RNAcentral
UACGAAGGGGGCUAGCGUUGUUCGGAAUUACCGGGCGUAAAGCGCACGUAGGCGGAUUUGUUAGUCAGGGGUGAAAUCCCGGGGCUCAACCUCGGAACUGCCUUUGAUACUGCAAGUCUCGAGUCCGAGAGAGGUGAGUGGAAUUCCUAGUGUAGAGGUGAAAUUCGUAGAUAUUAGGAAGAACACCAGUGGCGAAGGCGGCUCACUGGCUCGGUACUGACGCUGAGGUGCGAAAGAGUGGGGAGCAAACAGG